GUGUUGUAUGAAAGGAGAGAAGUUAGCACUCCCCUUGACAAGGAUGGAAGAGGCCCUUGGGCCUAACAACAUGCACAUGGUUAAGGCAAACAUAUUUUAGCAGAUCUGUGAAUAAAAUGUAUUA
RNAcentral lists this non-coding RNA (124 nucleotides) under Meriones unguiculatus (Mongolian gerbil). Lineage: Eukaryota; Metazoa; Chordata; Mammalia; Rodentia; Muridae. The record is from RNAcentral.